UACAGAGGGGGCAAGCGUUGUUCGGAAUUACUGGGCGUAAAGGGCGCGUAGGCGGCCUGCUAAGUCGAACGUGAAAUCCCUGGGCUCAACCCAGGAACUGCGUCCGAUACUGGUUGGCUUGAAUCCGGGAGAGGGACGUGGAAUUCCAGGUGUAGCGGUGAAAUGCGUAGAGAUCAUGAGGAAGACCAGUGGCGAAGGCGGGUCUCUGGACAGUUCCUGACACUGAGGCACGAAGGCCAGGGGAGCAAACGGG
This 253-nucleotide ribosomal RNA is filed under the name uncultured bacterium. Its description in RNAcentral is "partial 16S ribosomal RNA". It matches the Rfam family "Bacterial small subunit ribosomal RNA", at positions 524 to 776 of the family's 1533-position model. The record is from RNAcentral.